UAGAUGUUCCAAUAACUAGAAAUCAGUAGACUAACAAAAUACCAGGAAGCCAAGUAAAACCCUUCACAAGAGAAUGAAUGGACAAAUGAUCAAGCAGCAAAACCUUAUCCAAAAUUCAAUUUGCCACAAGACGCCCCUCCCUAGAAGAAUCACUUAAUGGCAAAUCCCUGUGGCACUAGCAUUCCGAAAGUGAUGGUUGAGAAGCAGCUUAUAGUUGCCAUUCAAUGGGAGGCAUUCCCAUCUUUUCCAAAAGUUGGUUUGUCUGUGAAAAAUGCCUAGUUUUCGAAUUCAUUGUUAUAGCUGCUUCCAUUUGUUCCUUUGGCAGGUGGGAGAGCAGAG
This 339-nucleotide unclassified non-coding RNA is filed under the name Hevea brasiliensis (rubber tree). The record is from RNAcentral. Lineage: Eukaryota; Viridiplantae; Streptophyta; Magnoliopsida; Malpighiales; Euphorbiaceae.